This 489-nucleotide ribosomal RNA is filed under the name uncultured bacterium. RNAcentral's name for it is "partial 16S ribosomal RNA". It matches the Rfam family "Bacterial small subunit ribosomal RNA", at positions 30 to 507 of the family's 1533-position model. The record is from RNAcentral.
UUGAACGCUGGCGGCAGGCCUCACACAUGCAAGUCGAACGGUAACAGGAAACAGCUUGCUGUUUCGCUGACGAGUGGCGGACGGGUGAGUAAUGUCUGGGAAACUGCCUGAUGGAGGGGGAUAACUACUGGAAACGGUAGCUAAUACCGCAUAACGUCGCAAGACCAAAGAGGGGGACCUUCGGGCCUCUUGCCAUCGGAUGUGCCCAGAUGGGAUUAGCUAGUAGGUGGGGUAACGGCUCACCUAGGCGACGAUCCCUAGCUGGUCUGAGAGGAUGACCAGCCACACUGGAACUGAGACACGGUCCAGACUCCUACGGGAGGCAGCAGUGGGGAAUAUUGCACAAUGGGCGCAAGCCUGAUGCAGCCAUGCCGCGUGUAUGAAGAAGGCCUUCGGGUUGUAAAGUACUUUCAGCGGGGAUGAAGGGAGUAAAGUUAAUACCUUGGCUCAUUGACGUUACCCGCAGAAGAAGCACCGGCUAACUCCGUG